CAUACAUCAUCACCGAAACCCCUCCUCAUACAUGACAUCAUCACCGAAACCCCUCCUCAUACAUUACAUCAUCACCGAAACCCCUCCUCAUACAUUACAUCAUAACCGAAACCCCUCCUCAUACAUGACAUCAUCACCGAAACCCCUCCUCAUACAUUACAUCAUCACCGAAACCCCUCCUCAUACAUUACAUCAUCACCAAAACCCCUCCUCAUACAUGACAUCAUCACCAAACCCCUCCUCAUACAUCAUCACCGAAACCCCUCCUCAUACAUCAUCACCGAAACCCCUCCUCAUACAUCAUCACCGAAACCCCUCCUCAUACAUCAUCACCGAAACCCCUCCUCAUACAUCAUCACCGAAACCCCUCCUCAUACAUCAUCACCGAAACCCCUCCUCAUACAUUACAUCAUCACCGAAACCCCUCCUCAUACAUCAUCACCGAAACCCCUCCUCAUACAUCAUCACCGAAACCCCUCCUCAUACAUCAUCACCAAAACCCCUCCUCAUACAUGACAUCAUCACCGAAACCCCUCCUCAUACAUUACAUCAUCACCGAAACCCGUCCUCAUACAUCAUCACCAAAACCCCUCCUCAUACAUCAUCACCGAAACCCCUCCUCAUACAUCAUCACCGAAACCCCUCCUCAUACAUCAUCACCGAAACCCCUCCUCAUACAUCAUCACCGAAACCCCUCCUCAUACAUCAUCACCAAAACCCCUCCUCAUACAUCAUCACCAAAACCCCUCCUCAUACAUCAUCACCGAAACCCCUCCUCAUACAUCAUCACCGAAACCCCUCCUCAUACAUGACAUCAUCACCGAAACCCCUCCUCAUACAUGACAUCAUCACCGAAACCCCUCCUCAUACAUCAUCACCAAAACCCCUCCUCAUACAUCAUCACCGAAACCCCUCCUCAUACAUGACAUCAUCACCAAAACCCCUCCUCAUACAUGACAUCAUCACCAAAACCCCUCCUCAUACAUGACAUCAUCACCAAAACCCCUCCUCAUACAUGACAUCAUCACCAAAACCCCUCCUCAUACAUCAUAUUUUAAACAGCGUUCAGU
Long non-coding RNA from Ictalurus punctatus (channel catfish), 1070 nucleotides. The record is from Ensembl. Lineage: Eukaryota; Metazoa; Chordata; Actinopteri; Siluriformes; Ictaluridae.